GACUGUCUUAUCGAACUGGGCAGGAUACAGCCAACUGUGACACAUGUCGUAACAGUGCCUGCAUCAUAUACAGUGUGGAACUAGAUUUUAAACUUCAAGAGGACAAACUUCAGCCCUUAAUGAAGAGACUGUGUCCAUUAGAAGAGCCGUCCUACCCCUCUCUGCCUUACACACACGAGGUGUUCACCUCUACACCCAAACGCAAGUCCAAGACUGAGACCAAGAAGCAUGCACGAUGGAAACUCUGGUUCCUCUAAUAUAUGGAUCCAGGAUCCCUAAAACCAUCACAAAUGAGCAAAUUCUAGUGGAAUUGGAUAAACAUGGAGAAAUGCUCACUGCUAGCCACCGUUUGGAACAUGCAUCACGGGAUCCACUGAACGACUGGAUUUUAGUAAGGAAUAACAGUUGUUUUCUAAUCAUGACCCUCUGAUGAACCCUCUGUGUUUGGGAACUGCUGAAUUCACCUGAUCUCACAUUUUUCAAUGGGAUUACACAAUGAUCCUUAGGUUUAGUCAAGUUAGCAAGGGACCCUGCAGAGGCAACAAGAAACUUCAAAGCUAAAACACUAGUUUGCCACAAAACUACUUUGGAGCCGUAGAUCAAAGACAUUUAAUCAGCAAAGCACAAACUUUUGAGGAUUAUAAAGUAGCUUUGAUAGCUGAGAUAUACCUCUGUCUGUUUCCCUGUUUUUCCCUCUUUCUUUCUUUCUUUCUUUCUCAAAGUCUCUCACCUGUUCAAUUUUUUAAUUUUUAAAUUUGAUUACCAUUUUAUGACAGAAUAAAUGAUAUGAAUGAAAUGAAAUUAGUGAGUAAAUGCAGAAUCAGCUGACUGCAUGCACUAAUAAUCAAUAACUUUGUAGUGAUAUUUUUCUGGAAGAUGUUGAGAAUGCACAAUUAGGUAAGGUAAGAGGUAAGGUUGUAAAAGGUGUUUACACACUGGUGUUCUCAAAAAAAGUAAAUUAUAAUAAUAAUUCAUGAAAAUACGGUGACUUUCUGUUUCAAAUAAUGGGCCAUCAACAUUUCUGGAAUAAUAACAACUUUUUCAGUGUGCAGAUGUUCUGGUCUGAAACUAUUUUCUUGGGAAUGUGAUGCUGUAUUUAUAACAUACUGUAAACCUAGGUCAAUUUUUCAGUAAAUAUAUUUUUCAGACUCAUAAAGAUGCUUGAGAAUUGCCUGGAGAUUACAGGCAAUAUGUUCCAUGGUGGAAAACAAAUAUGAGAACACACCUCAAAUCUGUUUAGAUGAUCAUUGUUUUGUGUUAUAGGUUGGACAGUGCACAAAUACAGAACACAAAACAAUAGUAAUAGGCUCUAUCCUACAAAACACACCACUCUGUUCAAGCUGACGUGUCAUUUGCUCAAUUAAAUUUGAAUAUGAUGGCAGUCAAUCACCAAAAUCUUGUGCUUGUUUACCCACCUAAAACAAAGUAAUGAAAGGAACACAACACACAAAUUGGGGAGUUUAAUAAUGCAGGUAACAUAGAGGGCUAUGUAUAUACAAACUGUGCUCAUCAUUUUAUUAGCUUCAAAGAGUCUUUGUGUUAGAUAUUCUCAAGUCUAAUGUCUUCACUACAGUGCCAAACACUGUAUUUAGCUGGUAGCCCAAGAACCUUCAUACUUGGAGGGUGUUUUGAUAACUGUAGGAUAUAUAUUUAAAAGUAAUAUUAUGUAAAAAAAAUAAAAUAAAAUCUUGGUCACAGUAUCUUGUUGUUGAAUUGGAGCACAGUACUUGUAAAUUCUUGUAGCAUAACCCAAAUGCAUCAUAAUACAUUGAGAAAGUGCAAUUGAUUUAUAUUGUGCAAUAUUACAUUUUAUACAAUUUCUACCCACAGUGCAUUUACAAUA
Carassius auratus (goldfish) is the source of this 1843-nucleotide long non-coding RNA. RefSeq lists it as uncharacterized. The transcript has 3 exons. NCBI's taxonomy places the organism in Eukaryota, Metazoa, Chordata, Actinopteri, Cypriniformes, Cyprinidae. The record is from RefSeq and is a predicted model, not a curated record.